CGGCCCGGCCCGGUCUGGCCCGGCGGAGACGCCUCUCGCUCGGCUGCCCGGGAUUUCCCUGUCCACGGGUGCCCUCGCUGCCAGCCCACUGGUUUCUGCAAUAUCCAUGAUGGAGGUUGACCAAGGAAAAAGCAAGACCACUAGGAAUUUCUCUCCCAAGUGCCUUCAGUAGCAGCAUGGAGUUGCAGGCAGGUCUCUGCAAUGGCAGAGGGAGACUCAGCCUAAACCCUGCUCUCUGUCCUGGUCUGGAGCAGACAUCUACCGUCACCUUCUCCACCAAACAUCUUCCCAUUUUUGCAGCAAUUGCUGCUGUGCAGGCGUGGGCAGACAGCCCAUCUGCAGCAGAUCUGCUCCAUCCAUCAAUCCUCUGCCGCAGAGAUGCAAUGCCACCAGCGACGUGCCGGCAGCGCGUGAGAUGGGAGCUUGACAGGCAA
Calypte anna (Anna's hummingbird) is the source of this 434-nucleotide long non-coding RNA. RefSeq lists it as uncharacterized. The record is from RefSeq and is a predicted model, not a curated record. The transcript is spliced from 3 exons. NCBI's taxonomy places the organism in Eukaryota, Metazoa, Chordata, Aves, Apodiformes, Trochilidae.